AUUGAACGCUGGCGGCAUGCCUUACACAUGCAAGUCGAACGGCAGCACGGGUGCUUGCACCUGGUGGCGAGUGGCGAACGGGUGAGUCAUACAUCGGAACAUGUCCUGUAGUGGGGGAUAGCCCGGCGAAAGCCGGAUUAAUACCGAAUACGAUCUACGGCUGAAAGCGGGGGACCUUCGGGCCUCGCGCUAUAGGGUUGGCCGCUGGCUGAUUAGCGAGUUGGUGGGGUAAAGGCCUACCAGGGCGACGAUCAGUAGCUGGUAUGAGAGGCGGACCAGCCACGCUGGGACUGGGGCACGGCCCAGACUGCUACGGGAGGCAGCAGUGGGGAAUUUUGGACAAUGCGCGAAAGCCUGAUCCAGCAAUGCCGCGUGUGUGAAGAAGGCCUUCUGGUUGUAAAGCACUUUUGUCCGGAAAGAAAACCUUGGCCCUAAGACGGGCGGUGGAUGACGGUACCGGAAGAAUAAGCACCGGCUAACUACGUG
Molecule: ribosomal RNA, 486 nt
Filed under: uncultured bacterium
Lineage: Bacteria
Description: partial 16S ribosomal RNA
Rfam family: Bacterial small subunit ribosomal RNA
Source: RNAcentral